Camelina sativa (false flax) is the source of this 573-nucleotide non-coding RNA. The record is from RefSeq and is a predicted model, not a curated record. NCBI's taxonomy places the organism in Eukaryota, Viridiplantae, Streptophyta, Magnoliopsida, Brassicales, Brassicaceae.
CUUUAGCCUGUUUAACUUCAACUACUAAUUCCUUAAAAGCAUAAAAUUUUACUUCUGCAGGGUCUUUUGGAUUUUCUUAUUGUCUUCUUCGUGAUGCCUGUGAAAGAAAAUGAUGAACAAGAUCGUUUCUCUUAAUUUCAGAGCUGUGCUUUUUUUAAUAUUCUCCUCUUGAUUAAUGUGAAAGCUGGAUCUCUUAGACUUGUUAUAUCCACAGACAUAUAUACGACUAUGUUGAGCUAAAGAAACAUAGAAAUAGUUGUUCUCUAUGAGCAUUUUGACUAAUUAGUGCUAUCAAUAUACAAAUUCGGUUCGCUUGCCUUAGACCAUUGUGUCGAACUUGAAGGUGGACUGUCCAAAUCCCUGAAAGUCUCCGCUUCUUGGAUCUUCUAUAGAGAAAUCCUUGUUCGGUUUUGAUGGAUUGGUUCUAAGAAAUCUUAUUUUGAUAAUGCAAAGGACUUGUUGCAGGGAUAACAUCAGUCUCCUCAUAUACUGAUUGCAGAACAUAUUUGAUCAAAUGCACCUUUUAAAGCCUGAUCCAGUACAGGAUCUCCCUCUGGUCCUCGAGCAACUCUG